GUAAAGUCUAAUCCCUCACAUUUUAUCCGUCUUCUCACUUUCUGAGUGACAAAAACAGACGUUAAUGGAGGAUUAGGGUUUUGCAGGACAAACGGAACCAUUGAACCAAAAUCCGUCAUGUCUUCUCUAAUACUGAAACCUUCCUCACUAUCCACGCAUUCUUCUCUAUCACUAUUUGCUUUAUCUGCAAGCUCAAGGGUUUCAAUUUCUUCGGUGAGAUUUCCGAGGAAUUUAACUAGCCGACGGCGAUUAUCUCUCAGUAUUCGUGCUUUAAACAAUCCAUCCUCCGAAAGUAAUGCUAAAGAUACUAACAUUGGCAAUUCCACGCCCAAGGGCAGGAAAGAUAUUCUGCUGGAAUAUGUGAAAAAUGUGCAACCAGAAAUUAUGGAAUUGUUUGUUAAAAGGGCAUCUCCACAGGUGGUCGAUGCAAUGCGUCAAACUGUUACAAACAUGAUUGGCAGUUUACCCCCACAGUUUUUUUCCGUAACAGUAACUACGGUGGCUGAAAAUCUUGCUCAACUUAUGUAUAGUGUAAUGAUGACUGGUUAUAUGUUUAAGAAUGCACAGUUCCGAUUGGAACUCCAACAAAGUAUAGAGCAGGCUGCUCUUCCCGAACCACAAGAAAAUAAGGAUGCUCCGGAUUUUGCACCAGGUACACAGAAAAAGGUGACUGGUGAAGUUAUUCGGUGGAACAAUGUCUCGGGACCUGAGAGAAUAGACGCUGUAAAGUACAUAGAGCUGCUUGAAGCAGAACUUGAGGAGUUGAGUCGUCAAGUUGCCAGAAAAUCUACAAAUGGUCAAAAUGAAUUGUUAGAAUAUAUGAAGUCUCUCGAGCCCCAAAAUUUGAAGGAGUUGACAAGUACUGCUGGAGAAGAUGUCAUUCUGGCAAUGAACACAUUCAUAAAGCGCCUGAUGGCUGUUUCUGAUCCUGCUCAAAUGAAGACUAGUGUUUCGGAGACGAGUGCAACAGAACUUGGCAAGCUAUUGUAUUGGCUAAUGGUUGUCGGGUAUGGUAUCCGAAAUAUUGAAGUCCGUUUUGAUAUGGAAAGGGUACUUGGAACUCCAGCCAAGCUUGCCGAGUUGCCUCCCGGGGAAAUCAUUUAGGCUCUGCUGAAAAACUGCCUCUGUAUGUUCUCCAUUAUUUAUACAGCUGCUUUUGACAUGAUUUAUAAAUGUCCAACUGCAGCUUAAUAGAGGUUAGGUUUAUAUUUCAUAGAGUAGGUUAUAAGAUAAGAUGAGAUGAGAUGAGAUAUGAAUGUUCAGCAACUCCUCUUUCUUUCGCUGUAGAAGUUGAGAAUUUAAUUAUGUUUAAUGCAAGGUUACACACUUGUGUUUUGCCUCCCUCAUGUGUUUUCCCUAUUUUCCAUUUUGGGAUAUUAUAACAAGAGUAGAAGCAAUGAAGCAUUGUUAUAUGUGAUAAUGUUCCAUAAAGAAAACAUAAUAUCGAUGCG
This is an RNA transcript of Spinacia oleracea (spinach), 1451 nucleotides long. RefSeq lists it as uncharacterized. Lineage: Eukaryota; Viridiplantae; Streptophyta; Magnoliopsida; Caryophyllales; Amaranthaceae. The transcript is spliced from 8 exons. The record is from RefSeq and is a predicted model, not a curated record.